RNAcentral lists this ribosomal RNA (440 nucleotides) under uncultured bacterium. RNAcentral describes it as "partial 16S ribosomal RNA". It matches the Rfam family "Bacterial small subunit ribosomal RNA", at positions 338 to 795 of the family's 1533-position model. The record is from RNAcentral.
CCUACGGGUGGCAGCAGUGGGGAAUAUUGCACAAUGGGGGAAACCCUGAUGCAGCGACGCCACGUGAAGGAAGAAGUAUUUCGGUAUGUAAACUUCUAUCAGCAGGGAAGAAAAUGACGGUACCUGACUAAGAAGCCCCGGCUAACUACGUGCCAGCAGCCGCGGUAAUACGUAGGGGGCAAGCGUUAUCCGGAUUUACUGGGUGUAAAGGGAGCGUAGGCGGGUUAGCAAGUCAGAAGUGAAAGCCCGGGGCUCAACUCCGGGACUGCUUUUGAAACUGUUUAACUAGAGUGCAGGAGAGGUAAGUGGAAUUCCUGGGGUAGCGGUGAAAUGCGUAGAUAUUAGGAGGAACACCAGUGGCGAAGGCGGCUUACUGGACUGUAAAUGACGCUGAGGCUCGAAAGCGUGGGGAGCAAACAGGAUUAGAUACCCCUGUAGUC